GGAGUCGACUGAGAUAAUGAGACGAGAAGCACAAGAGCCGAGGUUCGAACCCCAUCCGUCGCCCGCGAUGCAGAUCUCGACGUUUUUCAUCGACAGGCUAAAGACGCGGCCGUUGCCGUGCCAACAUCUGCUGUCUCAACCCUCUCCGCUCGGCUCCGACCAAAAAGCGACGCGAUUAUUUAGGAGUCCGUGGUCUCUAACCGGGCCGCUUGACAGCUUCUUGAUUCCGCCUCGUUUCUUUUCCCAGGACUUUUCCAUUCGGCAGCUGCACGCGGAGCCAGAUCCGCGCUCAGCGGGUUGAUUCAUUGGUUCACGGACGACCUGCGAUCGCACACACACACAAGCUGUUCCAACGAGGGACAGAAUCCACAUGGAUGACGACGCGGCGAACACAGUGUGUGUGUGUGUGUGUGUGUGUGUGUGUGUGUGUGUGUGUGAACCGUCAGACUCUUCGUUGGAAAAGAUCCUCGCAUCGUGUUCUCGCAUCAUGAUGACGCAAAAACUGCAGAGGGGAUUUACAGUAAACUUGGUGGAAAGACGAGACAAGAAAGAAUCUAUUCACCGGAUCUGGACAAAGGUCCAAGCCAGAUUUCAGCUCAGACAAAGUGAUGACGACUCCUGACGACCUGCUCAGCGGCUGCCGACAUUUCGCUGGAUUCAGAUGUCGACCCAGAGGUCGACUCAGAGGUCACCGCUCAGAAAAGGUUACUGAGGCGACCGGGCGGCGACCAGUUCAUCUGCGCGGGACAAAUCGAUUGGUCGAAGACAAGACAAUGGAACGCUCCAGUAGCUCCAUGACAACCUGGUUGUUCAAGACGCCUCGGAAAGGUCAAACGACCUCGUGUUUCCUGAAGAGUCCCGCUCGGUUUCGCCUCAAGCUGUUUCAGCAAAAUUGUUUGGUUUUUUCAAAAUGCCAGCGAAGAGCAGCCACACCGAGGCUCUGUGGAUUAAACCAUGUGCUUCAAGGUAUUUCAAGUUAUUCUAAUUGUUGACGCCUUUUGACAAAUACCGGUAAUCGAUCUCUUAGAUGAGUGCUGAUCAGUGACGGUCUCGGAAAGAGUCGCAUCCGUGGAACCCUUCUCUCAGACCCUGUUUCUGUCCUGGAGGAUGACGAUUCUCUCACCGACCACACAAAUACAAAAUCGUGUGAACACCUGGACAAACUACACACCUACAAGUUUCCUUCUUCCUUAUUCCAGAAAAGGAAUUUGUUAAGUGGGGAACUGAACUGAGCAUCUUCCUUCAGCCGGUGGGAAUGUGGCGGGGAGGUGCUCUGAGGUUUGUGUCCCGGGAUCAUGUUUUUUCUCCGUUUUUGAAGAAGCUCGACACAUCUCAGUUCUUCUUACAAGACGUCUGUGCCAACAUGAACACAGUCUCCUCUCCCUCGGGCCGGAAUGCUGCCGGAAUAUACCGUUACACUUCAAACGGACCUCCUGCGGGACGCGUACACCAGCUCCCUACUUCAUUUCCCUGCUGAUUUUUUGGACACACCACAAAAGGUUGACCUCUCCCCCACGUAGGGUCACAUCGGACGACCUCACGCCAACACACACUCAUUACAGUGUGUGUGUGUGUGUGUGUGCAGUUAAACCCUCUGGUAGCUUUUCCCUGUGGACUUGUGGACAUUUCAUUGCCACUAAGGACACAGACGAGGACUGUGGUAAUGACGUCACUUGUCAUCACGUCCGCUGCAGCUCCAGGGACAAAAAGACAUCUCAGCUGCUGCACAAAGUGUUUUCACUUUCUGUGACUUAUGGAAUCUGAAAUACAAACUAUAGAAUCUUUUCCAGCAAGUUUGGUGGGGGGGGGGGGGACAGUCCACCUCCACCUCUGCACACAACAUCUGUAACCUACUGAGGAGCUCUGACCUCUCGCUGCCCACCAACGCAAAUGGCUCCAACAUGUUUCCCUUUACGCACGUUCGUAACCCAACACGGUUCACUUUUGGAUAAAACGCUGCCCCGGACAGGCGGGACAG
This is a long non-coding RNA of Scophthalmus maximus (turbot), 1978 nucleotides long. RefSeq lists it as uncharacterized. NCBI's taxonomy places the organism in Eukaryota, Metazoa, Chordata, Actinopteri, Pleuronectiformes, Scophthalmidae. The record is from RefSeq and is a predicted model, not a curated record. The transcript has 5 exons.